AAGAUUGAACUGAAGAGUUUGAUCAUGGCUCAGAUUGAACGCUGGCGGCAGGCCUAACACAUGCAAGUCGAGCGCGAAAGUCCUUCGGGGCAAGUAGAGCGGCGGACGGGUGAGUAAUGCUUGGGAAUCUACCUAGUAGUGGGGGAUAACGUGUGGAAACGCACGCUAAUACCGCGUACGUCCUACGG
This 188-nucleotide ribosomal RNA is filed under the name Porticoccaceae bacterium. RNAcentral's name for it is "partial 16S ribosomal RNA". It matches the Rfam family "Bacterial small subunit ribosomal RNA", at positions 1 to 185 of the family's 1533-position model. Lineage: Bacteria; Pseudomonadati; Pseudomonadota; Gammaproteobacteria; Cellvibrionales; Porticoccaceae. The record is from RNAcentral.